GUGCCAGCCGCCGCGGUAAUACGAGGGGGGCUAGUGUUGUUCGGAAUCACUGGGCGUAAAGGGAGCGUAGGCGGGAGCCUAAGUUGGGUGUUUAAUUCCGGGGCCCAACCCCGGGCAUGCACCCAAAACUGGGUUUCUUGAAUAGGGGAGAGGUCGAUGGAAUUGGAGGUGUAGCGGUGGAAUGCGUAGAGAUCUCCAAGAACACCGGUUGCGAAGGCGGUCGACUGGACCCAUAUUGACGCUGAGGCUCGAAAGCGUGGGGAGCAAACAGGAUUAGAUACCCCGGUAGUCC
RNAcentral lists this ribosomal RNA (292 nucleotides) under uncultured bacterium. RNAcentral describes it as "partial 16S ribosomal RNA". It matches the Rfam family "Bacterial small subunit ribosomal RNA", at positions 505 to 796 of the family's 1533-position model. The record is from RNAcentral.